CAUGGAUGAUCAUGCGAUUAAUCGUGAUGAAUAUAAUAUUCCGUUUCUACCAACAGAACCCCCGAAAUGUUACACACACAGAGGAAAUUUCCCGCAAUAUGUUUUCACUUCCUGCCUUACAACAGCGUCUUCCAUCAUAUCAAUUAAAGGGUAUUGAUCCUAUAAACGCUCCUCUCUGGAGAGGCCGGUGUAAUCAAACUUCCUCUCAAAUGACUCCAGAGCUGAUGGAAGAUGCCUGAAGGAAAGCAACCCGCAGCUCUGACAAACACAAGAGUAGUACUGUGUGGUUUUUUUUAGUUUGUCUUGUUGAAAGGAUAGGAGGAGAAAUGCAUUUCAACAGGGCCCAGUCAAUAUAAUUGAACAUGAUUAUUGAUUAAAAAACAAACUAAAAAAACCCAAAAAACAAUAAAAGUAACUGAGGGGUUAAAAACUCCUUAAAAGAAAUGUGCACUGACAAAUAACUGCCAGUACCAAUUUAAGAAAAGCUUGUUUAAUUUGAAACUGUCAUAAGCUGAGUUUUGUUGACACAUGUGAUAGUUGCAUGUGUUGUUUUUUAUCAUUUGACCACCUUUAACCAUAUAACCAUUUGAUCAUUUUCAACAAUAUUCAAUUUCAUUAUGUCCAUUCACCAUUUUGAAAACUACUCGUCUUGAGUUACUUUGAAGGUGAUUCAUUAUAUUUUACUGUGUGAUUUCUAUGAUGUGGACGAUGAGGGAAUGAGGCCUUGAAAAUUGAAGAGCUAAACAGUUCUUAGAAAAGAUUUGAUAAGAAUAAGGAAGGUUUUACUUUUGAGUUUUAUCUUUAUGUUUUACUAGAUGUGAUUUUUAUAUCCAAAAAAACAAGCAUUUUGAUGUGCAUUUGUAACUGCGUAGGUAAAUCGCACGUGCUUCAAACAUGUAAGGUGUGUGCGUUUAUCUCUCUUUUUGGUGAACUUAGCGUGCCAAGUAAAGUUCAUGUUCGUGUGUUAACUGUGUGCAAGGCAGGUGCAAAAACCACAAGUUUGCAGAAGCAACAGGUAAACAGGAAAAGCAACUGUUGCAAACAGGAAAACAUCUGCUUAGACAGGGUGCUUCUGUUCUGAGCUGGUGCAGAGUUGCGGGCAGAGUACAUGUAUAUAACACAUGAAGUUGAACCGCUUCGAGGCUCGCUUUCCUGAUGCUCCGAGAGGUAAGUUCAGUGCUCUCCGCACUACGGCAAACAUUACUGAGAUGAAGUAAAUACCGAGGCCAUGCUGUUAUGUUAUUAAAGGGAGAAUCAGUGAACAGAGUUAAAGAUGUAACUUCAUGUUUGAUUGAUCGCUUUGAAUAGAUCUAACAGUAGGCCAGUAGUUUAAUAACAUAGUUUACUCCAAGUCGAGAACAGAGCCGGCUAAUAGCCGAGGAGGAGUUCAGAUUGGGGGUACUACGAUAACAACGGGACGUUCACACUGAGAACUAGCCGUUUCUCUCGGGAGCUACGGGAUCGCUAGCAACCGUGAUACUGAUCCUUGAGUGUUAUAGGCGGCAGAUUAAUGAACGUGCCGUUUUUGACACUCUGAGGGCAAUCGUCUUGUAAGCUCUCGGUUUAUAAAUAAAAUAGGUGGUAGAAGGUGUUGAAACAACUCCUAGAAAUAGGAUCAUAGUGGUAGAGGUCUUUCUGACGCUUGUUUUAACAGUCUCUAAUUUUAGUUUAGGUUGUCUAUAUAAACAGUAUAUACAAAUGCUGAAGCAAAAAAAAACAAAAACAUACAGUUGUAUUUCAGUGGCUUUAAGAUAGCAUGAACCCGUUUUAGAUAAUAACUGUAUAUACAGUACAGUGUAUUUGUAUAUGUGUUUUUAAUUAAACACUAUGAAGCUCAACUUCUUCUUUCAUCUCUUUACCUGUUGACAAAACUCAAACUGUAUGUUCAGCCUCCUUGUGUGAUGGAGAUUCAUAUCCAUCACAUGUAAUUAAAGUUUUGUGUGUAUAAAUUUGCAAUCAUGAGACUGACAGACUGGCUUUUUUUCAAUGCUUAAGUCUUUUAAUUGUGUAGAAGAUAAGAAAAACACUCCAGAAUGAAAAGGCCAAACAGGCUACAUUCAUUAAGUAGUUUAACAGUAACAGGAAAGAAGUAUAGAUUACUACAUGCAAGAGGCUACAGAUGAUGAAGACACAGAUAAUCACGCAUUCACA
Molecule: long non-coding RNA, 2151 nt
Organism: Sebastes umbrosus (honeycomb rockfish)
Lineage: Eukaryota; Metazoa; Chordata; Actinopteri; Perciformes; Sebastidae
Exons: 2
Source: RefSeq, a predicted model, not a curated record